Carassius gibelio (silver crucian carp) is the source of this 2201-nucleotide long non-coding RNA. RefSeq lists it as uncharacterized. Lineage: Eukaryota; Metazoa; Chordata; Actinopteri; Cypriniformes; Cyprinidae. The transcript has 2 exons. The record is from RefSeq and is a predicted model, not a curated record.
GUGUCCUCCUGAGGUAAAAGUAACGUCACGUGACAUGUUGUUUACAAGUUGUUGCAAGUCUUUCCAGAGUUGGAACACGCGUUUUAGCGAUUAAACAAGAUUAUACAUUUCGCGGUCAGAUGUUGUUGUCCCGUUGAAGCAGAAGAUCCUCACUGGAACAUCUCAAGUCAUGCUGCAGAACAUGAUCAUCAGGUUUGUUCAAAUAUCAAAAUACUCACCAAAAUAAUAUCAUACAAGGAUCAUUCCAGCUCCAAGUAAGUCACUUUAGGUUUGUUUAAAUAUGCAUACGCAUAAGUCAUAUGUUAAGAAAAGCUUUUUCAGUCUUUGUUCCAGAUAACCAGUGAUAGCCUUAAAAAUUCAUUUCACUUGAGUAUCUCACAUGCCAAUGCGUCUCCUCUUCUGCAACUCUACAUAAUGUAUCACAGUGAUAACAGUUAUCAGAUAUAAAGAUGUAUAUCUGAUAUCAGCUAUAUAUUUAUCAGAUAUCAAGAACACUACUGGUAUCAAUUAACAUUUAUUAUUUUUAAAUAAUACAAUAAAUAUACUACAAAGGAACAUGGGCUUUGGUAGAGAGUUACAACAAACAUCGCUCUCUCUCCAUUUCACAAUGAAGGACAGGCCUGUUUUCAUCGGAGCACUGAGAGGAUGUCUCAUACGGCUGAUAAAAAAAAGAGAAACGUGGCUGUGGGAAGACACAUGAAGAGAAAGCUUAACAUUUUCAUGCAUACAGGAAAGUUUUAAUGCUUCAGUUUUAAUGCUUAAAAGACAUACAAGGGUGGGAGGACACAGUAAACCUGAAUUUAUUGACACAAAACCAAUAUCUCUUCUAUCUUCUCGUACACAGGUUUGACACGACCGCACAAACAAACAAACAUUACAAAGACAAAAAAAUAAAAAUAAUAAAACAGAAUAAACUUUAUUGGCAGCAUUACUGCUGGUUUUGGAAUUUACAGAAGAAUUUGUUUCGUACUGUUAAAAUUGUGUCAAAACCGCAUAUUCCAUGUUGAAUCCUCUUAAAAGAAACAGUUCAAGUCAUAUUUAAUCAAAACUUAGAGCAAGAUUUUGCAGUAGCAGGUCUAGUGGUCAAAAAGCAGAAUAAAAGAGUGCGGGAAAAUGUCUAGUGGCAAAAGGUGUGAUAGAUCAAUAACAAGAUGGCUCUAGCCAAUGACAACAAAUUCUGGCAGGUGAAAGAAUAUAUGCUAGUGAAAUUUUGUAAUGUACAACACACUUGAAUAAUCACACAAGACAAUCUGAUUCUUGGUCUUCAAGUCUCUUAAAUUAAGAGAAAUCUCUUUGGAAGGAGUCGAGUUAACUAUUCAUUCCUCUAAGCGUUUUGGUUAAAAUAUUCACAGAACCCUUGAAAAAGAUCUAAUGGAAAGGUCCCAAGCUAAUUCUCCAGAGCUGUUUUAAAUGCUUCAUUUCCAUCGCUUCUGUUAGUUCGAGUAGAGAACACUUUACAUUACAGGGUCCAUGUUAGACGUGAUACCUCAAUCACAACAGAAUUAACAGUAAUUGUGCUCCGUUUAACCAUUUCAGAUCGUGUGAAUUGACUGUGAUCCGAACGUUGUAAUGUUAAGUGUGAGCUAAAGCCUUUAGAGGACUAUAAAUGAUCUCCAUAUGACAAUCUGGAAUUUGUCAAACGUGGUGAGGAAUGAUAACAGAAGAAAAACAUGUUCUCAUCAGUAAAUGAAUAUGAUUUAACGGCAUGCAUAAAAAUACUUCCCCACCUCGGGAAGUAAAGCUAGGACUGAAGACGUGGAACCGCUUUUGGGCAUCACCGCAGAGCCAUUUUCAACUACAAUAAACAAGUACAGGAAAAAAGGUAUAUAUUUUUAGCACCACAGGCAGAAGGAGAUAGCACCUAGUUUACCGAUAUUGUGUUUCCUCAGUGUGAUGGUGUGCUCUUCUGAUACAGGGAAGCACCGAUUCAUGAACGUCAUCCUCAUUCAUGCGGGUCGCGAUCUCACAGACCCAGGGAAGCCACUUCAACACGACAGGUAGCAAAUUAAUGCUCACAUUACGGCUGUUUCUUACUUUUAUUAUCAUUUUGUUGUUUAAAUUACAAAAAGACGCUGUUCACAACUGGAAUAAAACAUUUGGUUGCUGUUGCAGUUGCUUUUUUAAUCAUUUCCUUUAUUUUCUCUUCUUCAGAUUCACUGGACAUUUCCUCAGGCUCUUAUUUGGGGGGAUAUUUUAUUUUU